UAUUUUAUAGAUGACAUCGCUGAAGUCGAGGAUCGGUAGGAUGGGAGUUAGCAUUUAGCAGGCAUUACUUCUAAACCUGAAAAGGGACAACUUCUACAUGCUAUUCAGAGAAAACAACCAAAUAUAUCCAAAUCAGACUUAAGUAACCACAUUGUGGGCCUGUUACAAUACAUAAAUCAUGAUGGAUUUGAUGAAUGUGCGCCAAUAUCUGCAUUCCCUUGACUCAUUUACCGCAUCUAUGCUGUGACCAAGGUGACUCCCUUCACUUAUCAAAGGCCCAGGAUGCUAAAGCAAGCAGAGAUCAAAACAAUAAGUUGCUGUUUUCUCUCUCUCUGCGUGCGUGUGUGUGUAAUAUGAGUGUUGCAGAUGCCUUAAGAUAGUAGUCUUAAUUGCAACCACAGUAGAUGCUAUAUGUGACUGAAUACAACACACAACGGCGCAGAUAUAUAGGCAUGAGAAAAUGCAUCCAAAGCGGUAAAUUCCACCUGUAAUGUACUGCAUAUGCAUUCACAGUGCAAGGAGAUAUCAGGAGUCUCUCUAGGUGGAGACAGAGGAGAAGACCCCUACAUUUAAAAGGAGUCUCUCAAGGAGAGGGGUUCAGUCUCUGAAAUUAGUCCUUCUGUGGACCAUGGAGCUAACAUGUGCGGUAUGUUUGAGUGUCUGUGUGUGCAGAUCUUUCAAGGAAAUCUUUCAAGGAACUCAGCGCAAUAACAUUGUCUAUGGACUUGUUGUCCUGAAGCCCAAUCGACAAGGAGAGACCAGAUUCACCUAUACCGAGCUGUGUGUCCGUGAAGAGUGACCAGUCCAUGAAGCUGCCAACUGAUUCAGGCAGCCAGCCUAUAAAACAAGGGGCCCAGCAGGGAAGAUCAGACUCACCUGAACCCAGCUGUGUGUCCAUGAAGAGUGACCAGUCUAUGAUACUGUCUAUAGAAUUCAGACAGAAAGCCUUCCCUACAAAACAAGGAUGUUCGAAGACCACAUUAUCUAUUUUGUGAAGAAAGAGAUGAAGAGGUUAAAAAUGUUUCUGAGUCCUGAUCUUCCAGAAUGCUUUGAGAGUCUGAGGGAGGAUGCAGAAAUGAUUGAAGAUGAGAAGCAGGAGAGCAUUUGCCAGAGAGGGGGCUCAGCAGAUCACACUGCAUUUCCUGUGGAACAUGAACCAGGAGCCAGCUGACAUAAUGGAGAAAGGCUGUUAAGAUGUAACUUGACAGAAAGAUGCUGUGACGAGCUGGCCUCAUUUCUCAGCUCAAACCCCUCACACUCGAGGCAGCUGGAUCCAAGGGACAACAACCUGCAGGAUUCAGGAUUGAAGCUGCUCUUUGCUGAACUCGAGUCCACUCUGUAAACCACUGAGCGAAGAUUGUCAUUCUGAAGAGUCGCAGAGGGAGGUUGUGCUUCGCUGGCCUCAGCUCGGAAGUCAAACCCUUCACAUAUGAGAGAGCUGGAUGUGAGCGACAAUAAUCCGGGAGACUCUGGAGGGAAGUUGGUCUCUACUAAACUGGAGAAACUAUUACCUGUGCACACUUUUAAGGAGAGGCUACCUGGUAGUAGUAAAGUGUUGUUCCAAUUGUAUUGAGCACCUAUAUUUGCCAUAAGUCUUUGAUAUUUCUACAUGGUGAUUAAGUUCCUAAUUUAUUAAUAAUAUAUUUAUUGGUCAUUACAGUAAUGAAAGUGACUAUAACAACAUCAUGAUGUGAAGGGAACUUUACAUAAAGCCUACAGGUUUAAUUCAUUAUGAUGCGGUUUUGUCAUAAGCAUGCAUGAACCCAUAUAAUGCCUAUAACAAUCUCAUAAUGAUUCUGACUAAAUACCAGACAUUUUCAGUCAAUGACUCAACGAUUUUCGACAUAGACAUAACUUAUUAUAAGCAUUUCAAUAGGACACUAUAAAGGCUUUUACAUGCUUAUAACAAGUAAUAAAGUACUAUACCUGGAGACUUGAAGUGUUACUGAUUUUUCUAUAAAUUUUCAGAUGCCUUUGAGGUCACACAGAACCAAAACACAGCCCUAUUGUGAUCACUCUAAGAUAUUUAAGCACAGGAGCCUGCUGAGGGGAGGACGGCUCAUAAUGGCUGGAACGGAGCAAAUGGAAUUACAUGGAAACUAUGUGUUUGAUGUCGUCCAUACCAUUCCACUGAUUCCGCUCCAGCCAUUACAACAAGCCCAUCUUUCCCAAUUAAGGUGCCACCAACCUCUUGAUUUUGAGGUGUGGCUACAGUUGCUGUGUAGACAAGGGCUGACCGGGUACUGUUACUGGGAGGCAAACUGGUGUGGGGAUAUGGGAUCUUGUAGGGGUGACAUAUAAAAUACUUAGUAGGAGAGGAUUUUGACUGUUUGCUUGGACACAAUGAUAAGUCAUGGAGUCUGCUGUGCUCUAACUACAUAUUUUUUUAUGGCACAACUAUAAGCAGACUACCAUACAUACACUAAGACUCUGUUGCAGGUAGGGGUAUCUGGGCUGGCUGGUCCUUCUACAGCGUCUCCACUGGCACACUUGUACACAUGUUGGCUCCACAUUCACUGAGCCUCUCUACUAAGGGUUUUAGGGUUGAUAAAGUAAUUUACUUUUUUUCAUGAUUGAAUUAUAUUCAAAGAAUCUCAAACAUACCCUGUGAUGUUGGAUUUACAGAUGUUCCUAUGUCUCACUUUAACCACUAGAAAUAAGUAUAUACUGUGAAAUGGAGAAAAACAAACAUUUGAAACGAGAAGGAUAAUGACACCUAUCACUUACUUGUAAAUGUUUAAUUGGCCAUUCAGGCAUAUGGUCAAAAAGUGGAGUUUUUCUUAUGGUUGUCACUGUAGAUAGGUUCUG
Oncorhynchus gorbuscha (pink salmon) is the source of this 2808-nucleotide long non-coding RNA. RefSeq lists it as uncharacterized. NCBI's taxonomy places the organism in Eukaryota, Metazoa, Chordata, Actinopteri, Salmoniformes, Salmonidae. The record is from RefSeq and is a predicted model, not a curated record. The transcript has 5 exons.